UUUUACAGAUGAAACAAGCUGAAGGGGAGACCAGGAUACUAAGAUCCUCUAGUUGAAGGUGGCAAUGUUGUGUUAGAACCCAGGUGACUCAGGCAGGAAGAUCCAGCCUGAAUUAUUACCUGAUAUUACUCUUCAUGACUCCAUAGUACUUACUUGGCAGAGUGAAUUCUCUAUGAACACUCCCAUCACCAAGGAAUCAACAGGAAUUGCCAGUGAAACAGAUCUAAAGGUGUGCUCUUCUGGACGGAAACAGUGGAAAAGCACCCUCCACCCCGAUUCCCUUUGUGGCUCCGUGCAGGCCCUGCUCACAGCAGUGGUGGGAACAUCCACUCCCAUCUCACAGAGCUGCUUGUCUGUGGCAAGU
This is a long non-coding RNA of Myotis davidii, 364 nucleotides long. RefSeq lists it as uncharacterized. The record is from RefSeq and is a predicted model, not a curated record. Lineage: Eukaryota; Metazoa; Chordata; Mammalia; Chiroptera; Vespertilionidae. The transcript has 3 exons.